UACCUCUGGUGUACCAGUUGUUCUGCCAAGAGCACCGCUGGGUAGCUACGUAUGGAUUAGAUAAUCGCUGAAAGCAUCUAAGUGAGARACUAACCUCGAGAUGAGAUUUCCCAUUCGUCAGAAGUAAGACCCCUGAGAGACGAUCAGGUAGAUAGGCUAGAAGUGGAAGUGUAGUGAUGCAUGGAGCGGACUAGUACUAAUAGGUCGAGGACUUAACCAAG
RNAcentral lists this ribosomal RNA (221 nucleotides) under Oenococcus oeni. RNAcentral's name for it is "partial 23S ribosomal RNA". It matches the Rfam family "Bacterial large subunit ribosomal RNA", at positions 2704 to 2925 of the family's 2925-position model. Lineage: Bacteria; Bacillati; Bacillota; Bacilli; Lactobacillales; Lactobacillaceae. The record is from RNAcentral.